CCUACGGGAUGCAGCAGUGAGGAAUAUUGGUCAAUGGACGAGAGUCUGAACCAGCCAAGUAGCGUGAAGGAUGACUGCCCUAUGGGUUGUAAACUUCUUUUAUAUGGGAAUAAAAUGUUCCACGUGUGGGAUUUUGUAUGUACCAUAUGAAUAAGGAUCGGCUAACUCCGUGCCAGCAGCCGCGGUAAUACGGAGGAUCCGAGCGUUAUCCGGGUUUAUUGGGUUUAAAGGGAGCGUAGGUGGAUUGUUAAGUCAGUUGUGAAAGUUUGCGGCUCAACCGUAAAAUUGCAGUUGAAACUGGCAGUCUUGAGUACAGUAGGGGUGGGCGGAAUUCGUGGUGUAGCGGUGAAAUGCUUAGAUAUCACGAAGAACUCCGAUUGCGAAGGCAGUUCACUGGACUGCAACUGACACUGAGGCUCGAAAGUGUGGGUAUCAAACAGGAUUAGAUACCCCUGUAGUC
RNAcentral lists this ribosomal RNA (460 nucleotides) under uncultured bacterium. Its description in RNAcentral is "partial 16S ribosomal RNA". It matches the Rfam family "Bacterial small subunit ribosomal RNA", at positions 338 to 795 of the family's 1533-position model. The record is from RNAcentral.